CAGACCGACGCCGAUGAGCUGCAGGCGCCGCUGCUGGAGGAGCUCGUCCUUAUCAAAGCCAACGGGGGCGAUAAGCUGAUUGCUGCUGACGACGAGGCACUGCAGCAACUCAUGGUCACCAUGCAGGCACUCAACGUCAAGCUGCACGAAUACUACUCACGCAGCCCUCAGACUAUCGGCAUGACAAAGUACACUAGAAAGUAUCACGAGUACAUGGCAAGCACUCUUCAGCUACUCGCCGCCAGCCCCAAACACAACUAGCGCUCCACUACAAGCGCCGUGUCGUCACUGCUCACGGGCUCCACAUUUCCUGUGUUUCACUUAUUGGCUCGUCGCUUUAAUUUCGAAGUACCACUAACCUUCUGAAUGCCGUUAUAAGGUUUUCGGGUUGUUUAUUUUGUUUAUAAAGUUUUCAAGUUUAUUUAGUUUAUCUUCUACACGUUCUAUCCGUAUGUUUUUUUGUUAUAAAGCCAAAUAAUGGAAGUAAAUUUGCAGAUGAAGUACUCCACGAGAGAUAGGAGCAGAUUUAAUCUCGACGCAUUUCUGAGCUUAUUAAUGUAAAUUCUCCGAUUAAAGGAAUAUUUUCGUAAGUAAAAAUAUCGUAGCUUAAUAAAGUAUGAAGUUUAA
This is a long non-coding RNA of Hyalella azteca, 627 nucleotides long. RefSeq lists it as uncharacterized. The record is from RefSeq and is a predicted model, not a curated record. The transcript is spliced from 3 exons. Lineage: Eukaryota; Metazoa; Arthropoda; Malacostraca; Amphipoda; Hyalellidae.